Molecule: ribosomal RNA, 400 nt
Filed under: uncultured bacterium
Lineage: Bacteria
Description: bacterial SSU rRNA
Rfam family: Bacterial small subunit ribosomal RNA
Source: RNAcentral
CGCUGACGUGGGCGAAGCCUGUCCGCCUUCCGCGUGAGUGAAGAAGGCCUUCGGGUUGUAAAGCUCUUUCGCAAGGGAAGAAAACUUAGGCGCUAAUAUCGCUUGAGGUUGACGGUACCUUGAUAAGAAGCACCGGCUAACUACGUGCCGGCAGCCGCGGUAAUACGUAGGGUGCGAGCGUUAAUCGGAAUUACUGGGCGUAAAGCGUGCGCAGGCGGUUCUAUAAGACAGAUGUGAAAUCCCCGGGCUCAACCUGGGAAUGGCAUUUGUGACUGUAGAGCUAGAGUACGGUAGAGGGGGAUGGAAUUCCGCGUGUAGCAGUGGAAGGCGGGGGAUAUGCGGAGGAACACCGAUGGCGAAGGCAAUCCCCUGGACCUGUACUGACGCUCAUGCACGAAAG